RNAcentral lists this ribosomal RNA (261 nucleotides) under uncultured bacterium. RNAcentral describes it as "partial 16S ribosomal RNA". It matches the Rfam family "Bacterial small subunit ribosomal RNA", at positions 92 to 354 of the family's 1533-position model. The record is from RNAcentral.
CGACCGGCGCACGGGUGAGUAACACGUAUCCAACCUGCCGAUAACUCGGGGAUAGCCUUUCGAAAGAAAGAUUAAUAUCCGAUAGCAUAUCAAGAUCGCAUGAUCUUGAUAUUAAAGAAUUUCGGUUAUCGAUGGGGAUGCGUUCCAUUAGUUAGUUGGCGGGGUAACGGCCCACCAAGACGACGAUGGAUAGGGGUUCUGAGAGGAAGGUCCCCCACAUUGGGACUGAGAUACGGCCCAGACUCCUACGGGAGGCAGCAG